This 373-nucleotide ribosomal RNA is filed under the name uncultured organism. Its description in RNAcentral is "partial 16S ribosomal RNA". It matches the Rfam family "Bacterial small subunit ribosomal RNA", at positions 527 to 896 of the family's 1533-position model. The record is from RNAcentral.
GUAGGUGGCAAGCGUUGUCCGGAAUUAUUGGGCGUAAAGCGCGCGCAGGCGGUUCUUUAAGUCUGAUGUGAAAGCCCACGGGCUCAACCGUGGAGGGUCAUUGGAAACUGGAGAACUUGAGUACAGAAGAGGAAAGCGGAAUUCCACGUGUAGCGGUGAAAUGCGUAGAGAUGUGGAGGAACACCAGUGGCGAAGGCGGCUUCCUGGUCUGUAACUGACGCUGAGGCGCGAAAGCGUGGGGAGCAAACAGGAUUAGAUACCCUGGUAGUCCACGCCGUAAACGAUGAGUGCUAAGUGUUAGGGGGUUUCCGCCCCUUAGUGCUGCAGCUAACGCAUUAAGCACUCCGCCUGGGGAGUACGGCCGCAAAGGCUG